AUGCGAAACCCGCCCGGUGCAUCCGGGCGCGGUCACCAGGGCGUGGCGGUCCUGGUCUGAUGAGCAGCUAAAC
RNAcentral lists this non-coding RNA (73 nucleotides) under Leisingera sp. M658. Lineage: Bacteria; Pseudomonadati; Pseudomonadota; Alphaproteobacteria; Rhodobacterales; Roseobacteraceae. The record is from RNAcentral.